RNAcentral lists this ribosomal RNA (1191 nucleotides) under Escherichia coli. Its description in RNAcentral is "partial 23S ribosomal RNA". It matches the Rfam family "Bacterial large subunit ribosomal RNA", at positions 1 to 1230 of the family's 2925-position model. The record is from RNAcentral. Lineage: Bacteria; Pseudomonadati; Pseudomonadota; Gammaproteobacteria; Enterobacterales; Enterobacteriaceae.
GGUUAAGCGACUAAGCGUACACGGUGGAUGCCCUGGCAGUCAGAGGCGAUGAAGGACGUGCUAAUCUGCGAUAAGCGUCGGUAAGGUGAUAUGAACCGUUAUAACCGGCGAUUUCCGAAUGGGGAAACCCAGUGUGAUUCGUCACACUAUCAUUAACUGAAUCCAUAGGUUAAUGAGGCGAACCGGGGGAACUGAAACAUCUAAGUACCCCGAGGAAAAGAAAUCAACCGAGAUUCCCCCAGUAGCGGCGAGCGAACGGGGAGCAGCCCAGAGCCUGAAUCAGUGUGUGUGUUAGUGGAAGCGUCUGGAAAGGCGCGCGAUACAGGGUGACAGCCCCGUACACAAAAAUGCACAUGCUGUGAGCUCGAUGAGUAGGGCGGGACACGUGGUAUCCUGUCUGAAUAUGGGGGGACCAUCCUCCAAGGCUAAAUACUCCUGACUGACCGAUAGUGAACCAGUACCGUGAGGGAAAGGCGAAAAGAACCCCGGCGAGGGGAGUGAAAAAGAACCUGAAACCGUGUACGUACAAGCAGUGGGAGCACAGAGCAAUCUGUGUGACUGCGUACCUUUUGUAUAAUGGGUCAGCGACUUAUAUUCUGUAGCAAGGUUAACCGAAUAGGGGAGCCGAAGGGAAACCGAGUCUUAACUGGGCGUUAAGUUGCAGGGUAUAGACCCGAAACCCGGUGAUCUAGCCAUGGGCAGGUUGAAGGUUGGGUAACACUAACUGGAGGACCGAACCGACUAAUGUUGAAAAAUUAGCGGAUGACUUGUGGCUGGGGGUGAAAGGCCAAUCAAACCGGGAGAUAGCUGGUUCUCCCCGAAAGCUAUUUAGGUAGCGCCUCGUGAAUUCAUCUCCGGGGGUAGAGCACUGUUUCGGCAAGGGGGUCAUCCCGACUUACCAACCCGAUGCAAACUGCGAAUACCGGAGAAUGUUAUCACGGGAGACACACGGCGGGUGCUAACGUCCGUCGUGAAGAGGGAAACAACCCAGACCGCCAGCUAAGGUCCCAAAGUCAUGGUUAAGUGGGAAACGAUGUGGGAAGGCCCAGACAGCCAGGAUGUUGGCUUAGAAGCAGCCAUCAUUUAAAGAAAGCGUAAUAGCUCACUGGUCGAGUCGGCCUGCGCGGAAGAUGUAACGGGGCUAAACCAUGCACCGAAGCUGCGGCAGCGACGCUUAUGCGUUGUUGGGUA